AGCUUUGCGCAGUGGCAGUAUCAUAUCCAAUGGAGUUUAUCCAAGGCAUGAUUAUUGCUAAUUAAAAACUUUUCCCAAUACCCGACCAUGACAACUUUCAAUAUAGUUGGCCCUGGCAAUUUUUGACUGUCUCUAUGGAGA
Molecule: small nuclear RNA, 141 nt
Filed under: Microcebus murinus (gray mouse lemur)
Lineage: Eukaryota; Metazoa; Chordata; Mammalia; Primates; Cheirogaleidae
Description: U4 spliceosomal RNA (ENSMICG00000043673.1)
Rfam family: U4 spliceosomal RNA
About the family: U4 small nuclear RNA (U4 snRNA) is a component of the major U2-dependent spliceosome. The structure of U4 snRNA from yeast and human has been reported.
Source: Rfam by way of RNAcentral